Molecule: ribosomal RNA, 493 nt
Filed under: uncultured bacterium
Lineage: Bacteria
Description: partial 16S ribosomal RNA
Rfam family: Bacterial small subunit ribosomal RNA
Source: RNAcentral
AUUGAACGCUGGCGGCAUGCUUUACACAUGCAAGUCGAACGGCAACGCGGAGAAGCUUGCUUCUCUGUCGGCGAGUGGCGCACGGGUGAGUAUAGCAUCGGAACGUGCCAAGUAGUGGGGGAUAACCAAACGAAAGUUUGGCUAAUACCGCGUAAGCUCCAAGGAGGAAAGUAGGGGACCUAAAUAAGGCCUUACGCUAUUUGAUCGGCCGAUGUCGGAUUAGCUAGUUGGUGGGGUAAUGGCUCACCAAGGCAAUGAUCCGUAGCGGGUCUGAGAGGACGAUCCGCCACACUGGGACUGAGACACGGCCCAGACUCCUACGGGAGGCAGCAGUGGGGAAUUUUGGACAAUGGGGGAAACCCUGAUCCAGCCAUGCCGCGUGUAUGAAGAAGGCCUUAGGGUUGUAAAGUACUUUUGUUAGGGAAGAAAAGCUAGUUUUUAAUAAAAAGUAGUGAUGACGGUACCUAAAGAAUAAGCACCGGCUAACUACGUG